RNAcentral lists this ribosomal RNA (3350 nucleotides) under Triticum aestivum (bread wheat). RNAcentral describes it as "partial small subunit ribosomal RNA". Lineage: Eukaryota; Viridiplantae; Streptophyta; Magnoliopsida; Poales; Poaceae. The record is from RNAcentral.
CAAGUCGGUAUGCUCCUUUUUUUCCGUUCUAUACUAUGUCCUCUUUGUUGUGCUAGCCCCUCCGCCGCGUAGAAGCCCCUCCUAUUCUCCUGUCCCCUCUUCAUUCCGGACCACCGACGAUUCGUCCACGAGCGGCCGCUCGCCCGAGGCCGCCGGCGGAUCGCGCGCCUCAACCUAGCCCCGCGUAGGGGCGCCGGCACCAACAUGAGCGAUGCGGCGGACGGGUUUUCUUGGCCACGAGGGGCGGCGGACGGAGAGAAUGGGUGCACUUCGAUGGUGAGGGAAGGAGGAGGCGGUCGGGGUUCUCACGGGUGGGGCAACGGGCUAGCCGACGUGGUCGCGGGACUGCCACCGCGAGCAGCCGGGAGGGGCGGCCGGGGCGCGGCAUGGGCAGCAGAGGAGUUAGACAACAGUCCCCUGUACGGUCGCGGGAGGGUCACCGGGAGCGGCUGGGAGGGGCGGCAGGGGCACGGCAUAGGCGGUAGAGGGGUUAGGCGUCGAUCCCCUGUGCGGUUCUUCGAAGUCAGUACUCCGGCAGCGCGGCCUCCAGAAGGUAGAGUCUAAACAAAAGAAAUGCCAUAAAGGAGUCACUACACUACGAAGUUGAAGAGAAGGCCACGAAGAGUUUAACUACAUUGGUUCUCCACAACAGUUCUUAAAGUAGUACCGGUGACGAAAGGGUGGCUCCAUAAACGGCGUACGUCGGUACGUGUUCACAGCAGUGAACGUAGAGGAAACACGCAAGGGCAGUAAGGUACGGCGUGCUCCGACGUCAGUGGUGUGGGAACUCAUCCAUUAAGUAGUUAACUAUCAAAAACAGGGACGGCACUGAACGUAGAAAGAUGGAACGAAGUUUAAAUUAAACUAACUUACAGUUUAUUUCUAGUUGAAAUAGAGACUUACUAAGUACCUUCACGUUCGACUUAAUAUAAGUCCUAUAAGACUAAUAAUGAAGGUUCAAUAUAAGAUUGUGUUACAGAAACCAAAUUGUUGAACGUUCACAAAGAACAUGACUACAAUUGGAGUAUUUUUUCUGAGGGUCCACCUGUAGACGAUAUUUAUUAGUCCAUGACGAAAGGUAAUAGUUUAAGUUUACGAGUCACUUUGAUAGGUUACCUACCUGACCAACAAAUUGUGACUUAGUAGUUGUGAAAUAAGAGUAGAAUAGAGGAGAAGGUAAGUGACUUUGUAGACGUCACGUGCGAACAAUGAAGAAACUGACGAACUUGUAUUUAUAACUCUUUUGAGUUAAAAGAUACCCGUACUUAUUAGAAAGCUAAGUAUGUAUUUUAGUUUUACACCAAGGUCAAGGUCCUCCAUACCGUACUAAAGAGACGACCGCACACACACACAACGAACAAACAGACAACGGCCGACCUAACGUGUCGCCGUUACGGCCCUCGGCCCCCAGUAACCUUUUCACUCUACGGCUGCAGUGAGUUUUGCUAGGAACGUACCAUAACUGUCUUAGUAGGUGUUUAAUAAACUACCGUAACUGGGAACGAACCGUGCACGAACCGUAACUGACUUAGGAUGUAACCGCUCGAACAUAGGGCUGGUUGGAGAAACAGAAGUAAAAAAUCUUCGAUUGAGUGAACCAAACACGCGAGGUUAAACGUAUAUCUCUCCAAGUCUACAGACCGGUCGAUCCGUGACGGAUAAAGAGAUUUGGACUUUUAAGUUUUUAGUGAAAUCAAAAGUGAUUGUGUCGAUCCCGGUUGUGGACGAUAGUUUUCUCGGAGUUGUCACCUGCCCCACCGCCUCAUCAGUGCAUGGUUGUUAUGUCAUUGACGAUCGAUAUGAAGACCUCGUUUAAGAAACAGCAUCAGUAGUCCGGCGUCUACCGCAACGGCCCUAUGUGCGGGUGGUUCCAGAGGCCGGUAUAUCCGGGUACUCCCUAGGUCCCACAACGAGAUACGUCGUAGUACUGGUGUUACCACUGAAACAAAACUUUUAUGAUAAACUUACCGUAGUGUUGUAACUCAUGUGUAAAAAAAAAGUUGUCAACGAAAUAAAAAUAUGUUACACUUAGAGGGACCCAAUCUCGAACUCUGCACGCAAUGUGUGCCAAUUAAAAAGUGCUAAAUAACAACAACGAUAAAGGGUGCUCCAUGAACUAUUUUUCACAAGCCGCACACCACGAGAAGUUACUGAACAAGAGAAAACUUCUCGUUCGUUAUCUCGUACUCUCACGGCACUAGGAGGUUUAAGGACGAGCGAAGAUAUGGGCAUAUAUACAAUAAAAACUGACUAAAAUAAGGGAACUUACGAUGUAUUCUCCACAGAAACGUCUCGAAUUCUUGUUAAAUAAACCAACCUCGAUUGAUUAUGACAUAACGUUUCCCGGUCUGUCGGUUGGUUGAUGUUUACCUGACGGGCUUAAAUAGGUACACAACCUUAUCUACUAUAAACUACUAAACUUGGAACGUUGCCAUCCCAAAGGUGUACAUAGAUGGAGUUAAAUAAACUACUAUGAACAACUUUCUAUAAAGAUUAUGAAAUCACGUACACUAUAUAAUAAAAUCUAUCAUCAUGAUGAAAUUACACCACACAAUGUAAAAUCGACCGUUUACCCAAUUUAAGUAGAUGCGUAGUCCAGUAGUCGUGAGUCAUAGAGACACAAGAACUGUAUGUUUUUGAUAAGCACACACUUGAGAACUUCAUUUUAUGGUAUAACAGACGAACUAACAAUAACAUCAAUUGUUUUACAAAUUUUUAAAUCGUUUUUGUAUGUUGUAGGUCAUUAUAUCAUGAAUAAUCGUAGAUAGCACUAAUAGUUGUAAAUAUAAACAUUCUGUACACAACGUGUACGUACAAAUAUGACAAAAUUCAAAAGUUGACGUCCCCACACUCUGAAAUCGUACGAGACAUGUAUUCGUCCCUCAAGUCCCCGUCUUGACUUCCAUCUGAGCCCACGUCAAUAGGUGAGGAUGAACGAAAGUGAUCUUGUUGUAUAAUGUGACACUUUCGUUCUAGUACGUGACCGUAGCCAAAAUAAUGAGGUGUCUACACCCAGUAGCCGGUACUGUUUUAUACCCUAUUGUUUAUAAUACCUAUGUUCUACCGUUGUAUUUGAAGCGUUAAAAUACUAAACACUAGAGCAUCUAAAAACGGUACGCCUCCUGUUUACUAAGACCGAUAUACGUGACCUCAAAUUAGGUACAUACACUUGAUUAAUCUAUAGCUAGAUACAUUUAAACCUCUUAGUAUACACAAACUCUACUAAACUCUCACGGGAAUGGCCGGCACAUCCAGGUACCAUUAAGCUAACAAGACUAAACACAAGGUAAAAAUGAAUUGCCUCUACAUAAAAGUGAUAAUUCACAUUAUUAAUUAUUGAUAACCUACAC